RNAcentral lists this long non-coding RNA (499 nucleotides) under Setaria italica (foxtail millet). Its description in RNAcentral is "long non-coding RNA (SITA_LNC006717)". The record is from RNAcentral. Lineage: Eukaryota; Viridiplantae; Streptophyta; Magnoliopsida; Poales; Poaceae.
GGCGGCAGCGGCGCACGCUUCCUGGUCGCCACCUGCUUCCAGAAGAGGACGUAGCAUAUGACCACGGAUACUGCCAAGGUGGAGAGCAGCAGUGGGGUUGGGAUAUCCAUAGUUCGCCCGAUCUCCAUGGAUUUGCCGUCUGAUGACAUGCGUGGGAACGAAAUACAAGGCAUGUGCAUGCGAACCUAUGUAGCGGAGAUAAAAAAGUUGGUGAGUCGGAUGCCAAGUCAUUGCCUUACCUACUACCUUACCUACUACCAUAAAGUAGUAGCUAUAUAGUGGUUGGUCGAGGAUGCAUGGUCGUCGUGUCGCUGGAGCCAAGUAGGCGUCGUGGCAGGGUCGUCGUCGAGGUCGCGAUGAUCUCCAAGUCCCGGCAGAGCCGCCGGGAAACCGUUCUCCAAAGCUCUUGGCUAGCUCGCUUGUCUUCUGGUUGGCUCCUGGUAGGGCACAUGCACGUACGUGCCGGGCUUCACGUCUCCUUUGCUUGCAUGUUGGGGGC